GAUCGUCGUCCAUACUGAUCGGCAGACGGGAGAGUACACGUGGGAACGUGCCCUUUGGUUCGGAACAACCCAGUUAACUUGGGCUAAUACCGGAUAAUCCCUUACGGGGAAAGAUUAUCGCCGAAGGAUCGGCCCGCGUCUGAUAAGCUAGUUGGUGGGGUAAUGGCCCACCAAGGCGAUGAUCAGUAUCUGGUCUGAGAGGAUGAUCAUCCUCUCUGGGACUGAGACUCUGCCCAUACUCCUACGGGAGGCAUCAGUGGGGAAUAUUGGACAAUGGGCGCAAGCCUGAUCCAGCCAUGCCGCGUGGGUGAUGAAGGCCCUAGGGUUGUAAAGCCCUUUCGGCGGGGAAGAUGAUGACUGUACCCGCAGAAGAAGCCCCGGCUAACUUCGUGCCAGCAGCCGCGGUAAU
Molecule: ribosomal RNA, 409 nt
Filed under: uncultured bacterium
Lineage: Bacteria
Description: bacterial SSU rRNA
Rfam family: Bacterial small subunit ribosomal RNA
Source: RNAcentral